UACGGAGGGGGCCAGCGUUGUUCGGAAUCAUUGGGCGUAAAGGGCGCGUAGGCGGCCGAUCAAGUCCGACGUGAAAUUCCUCGGCUCAACCGAGGGUCUGCGUCGGAUACUGCUCGGCUUGAGUCCCGGAGAGGGUAGUGGAAUUCCCAGUGUAGCGGUGAAAUGCGUAGAUACUGGGAGGAACACCGGUGGCGAAGGCGGCUACCUGGACGGGUACUGACGCUGAGGCGCGAAAGCGUGGGGAGCAAACAGG
Molecule: ribosomal RNA, 253 nt
Filed under: uncultured bacterium
Lineage: Bacteria
Description: partial 16S ribosomal RNA
Rfam family: Bacterial small subunit ribosomal RNA
Source: RNAcentral